This 684-nucleotide long non-coding RNA is filed under the name Vigna radiata. RNAcentral describes it as "long non-coding RNA (VRAD_LNC002189)". Lineage: Eukaryota; Viridiplantae; Streptophyta; Magnoliopsida; Fabales; Fabaceae. The record is from RNAcentral.
CACAAUAUCAUUAUCCUAUCUGUUGGAACAAUCAAUGAAAGAUUUUGCAUUUAAAAAAUAAAUCAAAUAGAAUGAAUAAACCACUUUCCAGACAUGAACAUAAAAAAAUAAAGUAGCACUUUCAAUAUUUUGGGUUCAAAAUUCACAUUUCCAGAAUACAACAAUACCUUAUUUUUAACUAGAACUCUACAAUAGUAUAGGAUAAAAGAUGUUUAUAAAUGAUAUUUGGUGUUGAAAUGCCAAGAUUCUUGGCAUGUAUAUAUGUAACCUUAAUGAUGUUAAAACUUUGGUGGAAAGUAAUUUAUGAUGAUCAUGUGUAAGACUUGAGCAUGGCUCCACAGAAAGUGCACAUGAUAGCCUUCCAAGAUUUGCAAUAGAAAGGAACAUAGCAAAAUCUGGUUUGAGUAAUCAUGUCUGCAACACUGGCACCUCCGCCGCACCGCGAGCACGACCCGGCCACCGGCUUGCUCCGCUUCACUUUCUUCGUCUGAUCCACCAGAAAACAAAAGCAAACCAUGCCUGCUUCUGGUCCAACGUUGUUGUCGUGUUGCAACUGAAUCUUUCGUUUCUGAUUUUCUGAACCCUCUCUUACGUUGUUUGGUUGCUAAAAGGAAUUAAUGGUGUCUUUGCUUUUUGAUUUGGUUUUAUAGAGGGAACAGCGUUAAAAGGUCAACUGGUAUGGGC